Long non-coding RNA from Antechinus flavipes (yellow-footed antechinus), 2383 nucleotides. RefSeq lists it as uncharacterized. The transcript is spliced from 4 exons. NCBI's taxonomy places the organism in Eukaryota, Metazoa, Chordata, Mammalia, Dasyuromorphia, Dasyuridae. The record is from RefSeq and is a predicted model, not a curated record.
CUUGCAAUUUCAGUCCUCCCCUGGAUUCUGCAGUUGAUAAUAUGCAAGCAGUGGAUUCAAUAUACAUUGAAAAUACAUUUCUGCCUUGACAAGAGACACUGAGUAUUCAGCUGCAGUCCUCAGGUGCAGUAGGAAAAUGUAGUGGUCUAUGGAGCUCGGAUUCAGGCUGAUUAAUAUACUGCUAAAUGCUCUUUGGAGCCCAGCCAAGAGAAAUAUAAACAACAAAAGAACUCACUCUGUUUUCCAGGAAAUCCAGCGUGUCCACAUACUGAUAGUCUGCCUGCAGAAAGCCAACAUCUCUCCUGGUCCUAAAAGCUACGGGGAUACAAUUCAAACCGAUGUGUCAUUGCUGGGUUUUCUCUUCACAAGGUUAAGUUCAAGACCUGACUUCUUUUGAAUGGCCCCAAAAGCUCCACAGAGAAUCUCAAUCAAGUGGUUCAGUGCAAUUCAAAUGAAGUUAAGGUGAGAAGAUUCAGGGCAGAUACCCAAAAGAAUUUGUGGAUUUAUUGACUCAACCAUACAGAACUUUUCCUUUCAUCUUGAAAUUAUUUUGGGAAGUACAUUUGAACAGCAACAGGAUGUUUGACAAAGCACUAUAUUUGGUAUGGUGCAUGGGACACAAUGUCAUGUGAUAUCCAGGGCACUAAUGAACCAUGCAGAUAAUUUUAGUACUUCAUAAAGCUUUGUUCCAUAAGUGGUUUGAUUCUCAACUUCUGAAUGCUUCCACUUAUCUCCUUCUCAUGCAGAGUUACCACCAAAGUCAGCCCCACUAAGUUAAUGAGAACCCUGCAGAGAGGGGGAAAAUUUAUUGUUCUUCCCUGGGAUGAAAUCAAGAACUGAUGACAUCUGAGCCUUUCUGAAAUCCUCUCUUAGCUUAGUCUAUGGGAAGUGAGGCAUUAAGAUAAAUGGACAGGUUUUCCAUGAAAUUCAAACUGGAGAACUGAGAUUGAGUAAAGAGUAUGAAGGGGAAAGCUCUGAUGUUUGUUGACAGAGAAUAUUUUCCAUUUAAAUUAUUUGCCUACUGUGAGGUCUUCCGUAUUAUACCUCAAUUUCCCUAAUAACUGUAUAAAAUGGAGUGUAACAAGGAUCUGGGCUGAUUCCUGUGCUGCUGUUUAACAUUUUUAUCAAUGAUGUGGAUGAAGGCACAGAUGGCAGCCUUAUCAGAUUUAAAGAUGACACAAAGUAAUGGUAGAUAGAAAAUAUAAUGGACGCUCAAGCCAGGACUGAAAAUAAUCUUCAAAGGUAAGAACAUUGAGCCAAAUUGAAUAAUAUGUAAAAGGACUAAAUAUAAUGACAUGUUUGCUUUCAAAAUAUCAACUUUAGAAGUACAAAAUGGGAAGCAGCAUUAGAAAACUAUUUGUCUGAAAAAGGUAGGGGUUUUAAGUAGCUUCAAACUCAAUAAGAAUCAACAAUGAAUUAUAAUAACUACAAAAAUUAAUAUUUUCUAGACUGCAUUAAGGGAGGGAGAGCUUCAAGGAAUAUGGAGGCAAUGAUCCCACAUCACACUACAUUGAUCAGAUUACUGCUGAAUUGUUUUGUUCAGUUCUAAUCACCAAAUUAUAGGAUGACCACUGAUGAGUAAGGAAUAGCCAGAGAAUGGUGGUUCGAAAACUGAAAGGACUCAAGUUUGUGACAUUUGAGAUUCAAUCAAAGGAUUUGGGAAUAUAUAGCCAAGAGGUGACAAGGGGAUGAAAAUGAUGGAUUUCUUGAAGGAUGGCCAUGAAGAAUAGAGACUAGUCUUCUUGUUUUGGCCUCUAAUAAGAAUCUAGAGCAAUAAAUAGAUAGAAGUUAUAAUGAGGGAAAUUUAAGUUAAAUGUAUGAGAAUUAUCCAAAAGUGCAUUGACAGGUGGUUGAUUCUCACUCCUUCAAAAUCUUCAAGUGAAGGAUUAAUGAUUUUUAUAAAGGCAUGUUAUAAAGUAAUAGCAUUAUUAUAACCAUGAUAAUGUCUAUUACACUUUUAGGUUUGCAAAGCACUUUAUAUAUAUUAUCUUGUUUGAUCUUCACAAAAAUCCUGGGAGAUAGCUGGAUUUAUUAUCCCCAUUUUACCAAUAAGUAAGGUGAGGCUGAGAGAUAUUAAGACUCUUAAUCAAUUCUUUUUUUUUUUUGUAUUUUUAUUUAUUUAUUUAUUAUACCUUUUUAUUUAAGAGAUAUAUGCAUGAGUAAUUUUAUAGCAAUGACAAUUGCAAAACCUUUUGUUCCAACUUUUCCCUUCCUUCUCCCCACCCCCUCCCCCAGGUGGCAGGUUGACCAAUACAUGUUAAAUAUGUUAAAGUAUAAAUUAAAUACAAUAUAAACAUACAUGUCCAAACAGUUAUUUUGCUGUACAAAGGGAAUCGGACUUUGAAAUAUUGUACAAUUAGCCUGUGAAGGAAAUCAAAAAUUC